GGAGAGGUAUCGAAGUGGUCACAACGAGGCGGUCUUGAAAACCGUUUGGGGGCAACUCCACGCAGGUUCGAAUCCUGUCCUCUCCGCCA
This 89-nucleotide transfer RNA is filed under the name Clostridia bacterium. Its description in RNAcentral is "tRNA-Ser". It matches the Rfam family "tRNA". From Rfam's summary of the family: Transfer RNA (tRNA) molecules are approximately 80 nucleotides in length. Their secondary structure includes four short double-helical elements and three loops (D, anti-codon, and T loops). The record is from RNAcentral. Lineage: Bacteria; Bacillati; Bacillota; Clostridia.